AAGCCAGUCAGGCUCUUGGUUCAGUCCUUCGGGUACCCAUCUGACGUCAUUACGUCGGCAGACGUCUCUCCCUGGAAGUCCGAAGUUGCCCGAGAACAAUGGCUGCCUGACAACGACUGUUUCACUUCGGCGAAAGGUUAUCAAGGAAACAAGUGGUGUACUGGAUGAAGUUUGAUGGACUCUUCUGAUCAGGUGCUGCAGGUCUUCCAGCUACUGUUUGGAGAAGAUAUUUCCUCUCAAUUUAUGGAAGUAGGGAAUUUUUCUGAAGGCAGAAAUCAAGGAUUCAAGAACCCAAGUUGGACUCUUGAUUCCACUGAGACCACUGUGUGCAUUUUGAAAUGUUCCAAAUGUGUGUCACGUCCAUACGGAAGAAGUUCCAAGCCCACAAUGGGCUCUAUGAACUGUCCAGGGCAAAGUCGGUCUACCCUGAUGACACUCCCUGUUCCUUGAUGGUAACCAUGGCUGCUGCCCUCAACGUGAGCCCUCAGAAAUAAACUGAUAUCAAUAAUUAAUAUGGAUGGUGAUUGUGGCAAGGGUGCCUCCAUAAGGUGCCAUCCAGAAGUCCCAGCCUGGAGCCAGUGGCUGCUAUUGCAAUACUCAUGGGGGAUGAUCUGCAGGCAAAGCUGCGAUUAGACACUUGACAUUUACUGCGAAAGGUACCAUCAGAGCACCUCUCCCUACCCUGCAGGAUAUCUAUACCAGAAAAGUACAACAACGGCCCAAAACUAUUUCCAAAAGACAUUUCACACCCUGACCAUGGACUGUUUAAACCACUGAGGUCAAGCAGACGUCUCUGUUCCCACAUGGCUAAAACAGAAAGGAAACAAGGAGUCUUUUCUCAAUAU
Long non-coding RNA from Sardina pilchardus (European sardine), 845 nucleotides. RefSeq lists it as uncharacterized. The transcript has 7 exons. The record is from RefSeq and is a predicted model, not a curated record. Lineage: Eukaryota; Metazoa; Chordata; Actinopteri; Clupeiformes; Clupeidae.